Long non-coding RNA from Nothoprocta perdicaria, 1307 nucleotides. RefSeq lists it as uncharacterized. The transcript has 4 exons. The record is from RefSeq and is a predicted model, not a curated record. Lineage: Eukaryota; Metazoa; Chordata; Aves; Tinamiformes; Tinamidae.
GUUAUUUUUCAGUGGUAGAACUCCCUCCACCUGAGCAUGAACUACUCCAGGGUGAACUUUCUUCAAGGUCUUGGGCAACUCAUCCCAGAUCAGAGCCUGCAGUGAACAGCAGUUCAGCAGCUUGAAGCUGUCGGUUCAUCAUCCUACAGGUCAAAUUCUGAAUGAAGGUUUUCCCAUGGCAGCAAGAGGAAGAAGCACCAGGAAGCUGCUCCGCUUCCUCCUACGUGUAGCUGGAGGUGGAUGGCAGCUGGGCAGAGCUUUGGCUUGGGAUCAGAGGGAGCAGCAGAGCCAGCCUGGGAGAGGAGGAUGGCACCAGCUGGUUCUUUGCUCYCCAUUCCUGGAGAAGAGCUCGUGAUUUGAACCAUGGACAAUGAUACGGAUGUGAUAAUAACGUCACUGUUUGUGCCUUGUGCCUUGCACUUGAGGACGUGCAAUUGUCCCCAAGGGAGUUUUGCACACCAGAUCCAAAAUCACCACUUUGUGUGCAGAGAGCAGGGAGAAGGUAUUUUUACUCCUGCAGCUGUCUUGCAAUGAGCAUUGAAUUUUGAUAGCGCUUCCCCAUAGCCACCAGGCACAGCAAAAUGCAGACUUGCCCUUGGUCGCCCUGGAGAAUUUGGUGAGAAUGGCCAAGAGGGCUUUAACCCUACAAAUGGAAAGCAGGACAUAAGGUCUGGUUCCCAUCGAUGAUGACUGAAACUCUAUCUUUCUACUAUAUAUGUGUUGAGUUGACCAUCAUAGUUUUGCCACUAUUAAAGGGCAAGCCGAAAAGUAUUUAACCUACGGGGUGUCCCUUCCCAAACAAUUCCACCUAGAGAAACGGAGAGCAAGAAGAGAGAACAAUAUCCUCCUUUACUAGCUAACAGAUGUGGAGCUAUCUACAAAUAACAGGGUGGCCAACAAUAACCUGACACAAAUCAUGAACUGUUGGAAAGAAAAAUAUCUUUGCACUGGGCUUUGAAUAACUGCUGUGGCUUGGAGACAAGUACAGAUUUUCCCCAGCUAUGCUGGCUGGUGUUUUGCUGUUGAUGCAUCCCAUUGGAUGGUCCCAGAUAGCUACUCUGCAUCCCACUGUACCACCCAAAAGCUUCCCACAUAUCCAUGCUCCAUGCCAAGAGCAGUAAACAAAAACCAUGUUUAUUUAUAAUUAUUUCUGAAUAAGCUCAAGUGUAUUUGUGCUCAUUUGCUUCAGGAUGCUGCUAACUCUCGCUGGUGCUCUUAGGACAGGAUUGAUGCUCUUGGCAUAUUCAUAAUCAUGGGACGUGUUGAAGCAGGAGAUCCCGUCGCAGCUCGGUGUAACCACAACACCA